CUGAAAAAAUGGUAGAGCUGAGCUGGCUCCUUAGGAGUAUGUGCUCGCUCUAUUGCCUUUUCUACUCUCCACUGUGCACCUCUUGUAGGCUACGAUCUUUCAGCUCGAAAGGGUCGACUUUCAGAGGGCUUAGCAGUUCAUUUGCUUGACCUCGACUUCGUAGCCUAUGUCUUACAUACACUCUGUCGAAGUAUAUGAAUGUGUAUUGUUGGUCUUUGACCGAUAAACUAUAUA
RNAcentral lists this unclassified non-coding RNA (234 nucleotides) under uncultured Tricholomataceae. RNAcentral describes it as "sequence contains ITS1". Lineage: Eukaryota; Fungi; Basidiomycota; Agaricomycetes; Agaricales; Tricholomataceae. The record is from RNAcentral.